RNAcentral lists this long non-coding RNA (1791 nucleotides) under Salvia miltiorrhiza (redroot sage). RNAcentral describes it as "long non-coding RNA (SMIL_LNC006008)". Lineage: Eukaryota; Viridiplantae; Streptophyta; Magnoliopsida; Lamiales; Lamiaceae. The record is from RNAcentral.
UGCAGGGCUGGAGUUCCACCGUAUUACUCAGCCCCGAGAAAUCGUAACAGGACUGGAAUCCCCCAUACGAGUCAACCUCCGGUAGUAUUUUGCCCGACUUUCCCAACAAUUCUCUUCUGCACCUGAGCCCUACUUGAUAUUUCAGUACUGUCAUGCCCUUGUGCAAAAUAUCAAACAAGAUUACCAGAGAUUAGUAAAUGAAAUGAGCAGAAUUUUAAUAGGAAAAAGAUCGAAAGAUGGAAGUCUUCCCAUCAAACUAGGUUGCAUCAUGGUUGCAUCUCCUAAUUGAAAUACAAUCCAAAAGUUCCAACUUAGAGCAAAAACAACAAACACCGCACAAUUUGAAGCCUAAACCAAUGGGCAUAAUACUAUCAUGCUUUUUUGCUGCCUACGAAAAUUAUAACUUAAUCAAAACUAUGUGACUACUCAGUGAGGCUCAAAUGCCAUAGUUCCACGACAACUUCAAAAAUUCCAAACAAGUUUAGUACUGUCAUGUCAUGUUUAUGGUUUGAAACUCUCUCGUUGUCUUUCAUGCAAACUAACUUGAAUGAUAGCAGUAAAGUUAUUAAAAUGAACUAUGCAAGAUCCACAGCCAGCUGUGAUUAUAUCCCAUACAAACUGCAAUCAGACUACUCUACAUGGCAGAUAUGAUACCUGCAAAUACAUCCCAGUCUUGAGUUUGAUGUGAAUUCGGUUGUCGUUAUUUCUUUCCAAGUAAAAAGCACUCUGCAUAUAACUGAACUACCCUCAACUUGGCAGGUGAUCACCUACAUUUCAAUCCAGCCAUAAUAAGAUGAAAUAGGUGUUGUAGCUUCUUCAGUUCUAUUGACAUUACAGUUAAGGCAGUUCUAAUGAUUUUGCAGAGGAGAAACAUGUCAGCAUUUGAAUACUUCUUCAAUUUAACACAUUCACAAAUGAGAAAUACACUCUUUCAUGCUCAAAUAAAGGCGGACAAGUUUUGGAUGUAUAGAACAGUUUUACUUUGUCAACCGCAACGGCCCCUCUCCCACCAUUGUCAGCGGAAACGUAUUUGUUUCCACUCACUGAUUUCAGUUGGACCUCUGUUCCAUCCUACAAUGCAACAACCAAAAACCUUUAACAGGUAUGCACACUCAACACACGCGCACAGAAGAAACCUGAAACCCCAUUUGCAGAGAGCUAUCUCCAUCAACAAGAUAAACCCCAAUUCUUUCAAUUCUUGAAUAAUGCACAAGCCAUGUUCUACAAUUAAAGUGUUGGGACAUAACUGCUCACCCAAAAAUCAUCAUAAAGUUGCUGACUAUCAAAUGCUCUUCCUGGCAGCAACUGCUCGCAUCCAAAACUACGAGCAAAACGUCAUUUAAAAACACAAUAAUAGACGAACAAAUUAAAUCAUGGAGUAAUUUGAAACUCGAUAUUGACGAGUUUGUAAGCUUGGACCAUUAUAUUACACCAUGAGUAAGGAGAAGAUUCAUUUAUUGUUCUGCCAAAACUCUGAGGUCUUGAAUAUAUCAGAUUUUCCCAGUUCAUUUAAAACCACUACAGCAGCCUACCAACAAAUUUUCAAGGUAUUUACUGAGCUCAAUAUGCUAUAUCUCAUAAUGCAUAUUCUCCAUCUAAGCAUGAUAGACAAACAUUACCAUUGCAUAAUCAAUUUAUUUCCAUCAAAACCAACAACAACCUAUGACUUUCACACGAGCUAAAUGCAGUGAGGAAUUCCUUGAUACAGUAGCAAGAGUUUAGUGCUUAGUGCUAUUUAUUGCAUAACAAUUAUAGAAAAAUGGAAACUGCACAAUAGAGCUAUAGAUUAAC